UUCCAGACUCCUACGGGAGGCAGCAGUGGGGAAUAUUGCACAAUGGGGGAAACCCUGAUGCAGCGACGUCGCGUGAGUGAAGAAGUAUUUCGGUAUGUAAAGCUCUAUCAGCAGGGAAGAAAAUGACGGUACCUGACUAAGAAGCCCCGGCUAACUACGUGCCAGCAGCCGCGGUAAUACGUAGGGGGCAAGCGUUAUCCGGAUUUACUGGGUGUAAAGGGAGCGUAGACGGCCAGACAAGUCAGAAGUGAAAGCCCAGGGCUCAACUCUGGGACUGCUUUUGAAACUGCCGGGCUGGAGUGCAGGAGAGGCAGGCGGAAUUCCUGGUGUAGCGGUGAAAUGCGUAGAUAUCAGGAGGAACACCGGUGGCGAAGGCGGCCUGCUGGACUGCGACUGACGUUGAGGCCCGAAAGCGUGGGGAGCAAACAGGAUUAGAUACCCUAGUAUC
Molecule: ribosomal RNA, 448 nt
Filed under: uncultured bacterium
Lineage: Bacteria
Description: bacterial SSU rRNA
Rfam family: Bacterial small subunit ribosomal RNA
Source: RNAcentral